CUGAUGGUCCGCUUUCUCCAGUUGAGGCGAGCCGGGCGCGGGCCGGCCCUGAGCUGAGGACGACGCCGCCAGGGGGCGAAGGCGGCCUACUAGCAAGAUCAAGGCCUGUGAGGCACAGAAAGUCAACCUCACUUAAAAGAUUUUAAAAAGAAUCCUUGAUCGAAAUUUCACAAUUCCAGUCUCCUGAAGCAGGCCCUCUGCCCAAGGGCUUUCUACCGUGGUCACAGUCCAUAUACGAGAGAACUGAGCCUCGGGGAGUGGAAGUGACUUACUCAGGGUCACCGAUGAGCAAGAACUAAAGCCCGUAAGACAGCCCUGACACUGACCCAGUUACCAGCUGGGUGACUUAAGCUAUGAAUGUAUGUGGCCUCAGUUUCUUCAGCUGUCAAGUGGAAGCAGCAAUACCAUGUUGUGGGAUCCGCUGGAAGAGUGAAGGACAUGAUGGGUGUCCAGAGGCAGGGCUGUGCCAAGUUAAGUCCUCAGUGUACCUUAGCUGAGGUUAUUUCUUUGUAAGCAGAAUUCAAUACAUGUCAUGGCAAAAA
Long non-coding RNA from Fukomys damarensis (Damara mole-rat), 542 nucleotides. RefSeq lists it as uncharacterized. The record is from RefSeq and is a predicted model, not a curated record. The transcript is spliced from 3 exons. NCBI's taxonomy places the organism in Eukaryota, Metazoa, Chordata, Mammalia, Rodentia, Bathyergidae.